GCGGCGUGGCUAAAACAUGCAAGUCGCACGGAAAGGUUAAUUCUGAUCCUUCGGGUGACGGAGCGAUACUCGAGUGGCGAAAGGGCGAGGAAUACAUGGGCAACGUGCCUUCUGCACGAGGAUAACUGCGGGAAGCUGCAGUUAAUACUCGAUAAGACCACAGCACCUUCGGGUGCAGGGGUCAAAGGUGGGGACCUUCGGGCCUACCGGCAUUAGAGCGACCCAUGUCCUAUCAGCUUGUUGGUGAGGUAACGGCUCACCAAGGCGACGACGGGUACCGGGACUGAGAGGUUGACCCGGCGCAUCGGGACUGAGACACUGCCCGGACUCCUACGGGAGGCUGCAGUAACGAAUAUUCCGCAAUGGGCGAAAGCCUGACGGAGCGACGCCGCGUGUGGGAGGAAGCCCUUCGGGGUGUAAACCACUGUCAGGGAUUACCAAGCAAAGUUGGCGAAUAGCCUUCUGCGUUGAGGCGUCCCAGAGGAAGCCACGGCUAACUUCGUGCCAGCAGCCGCGGUAAUACGAAGGUGGCGAGCGUUGUUCGGAAUCACUGGGCUUAAAGGGCACGCAGGCGGACUGUCAAGCGUCUUGUGAAAGCCCCCGGCUUAACCGGGGAAUUGCUGGGCGAACUGGCAGUCUUGAGGCAGGUACGGGCGAGCGGAACUCUUGGUGGAGCGGUGGAAUGCGUAGAUAUCAAGAGGAACGCCGGAGGCGAAAGCGGCUCGCUGGGCCUGACCUGACGCUGACGUGCGAAAGCCAGGGGAGCGAACGGGAUUAGAUACCCCGGUAGUCCUGGCCAUCAACGAUG
RNAcentral lists this ribosomal RNA (808 nucleotides) under uncultured organism. Its description in RNAcentral is "bacterial SSU rRNA". It matches the Rfam family "Bacterial small subunit ribosomal RNA", at positions 39 to 811 of the family's 1533-position model. The record is from RNAcentral.